Long non-coding RNA from Thamnophis elegans (Western terrestrial garter snake), 1651 nucleotides. RefSeq lists it as uncharacterized. NCBI's taxonomy places the organism in Eukaryota, Metazoa, Chordata, Lepidosauria, Squamata, Natricidae. The record is from RefSeq and is a predicted model, not a curated record. The transcript is spliced from 3 exons.
AUGAAGCUGUCUAAUGAAAUAAAAACAAGGCACUGAUAGAACAAAUCAUUUUGUUUAAAAAUAGGGUUUUCUUGCAAAGAUAGCUGGGAUAAAGAUUGGACCUCCGUCCGCCCAAUUUUCUCUUUAUAGUCUCUUGUGGUAAUUUAAAAUAUCCAGUUUUUUUUUCAAUAUUAUUUUGGUCUACACAGCGGGUGUCAAACUUGCGGAGUCACAUUGCAUAUCACGAUGUUUUUUCUUCACGGAGCUUGGAUGGGCAUGGCCUCCGUGUGACUCAUCCGGCCUGCAGGCCACCAGUUUGACACCCCUGGUCUACACCAAUCUUUACAUGAGGAAUGCUAAAUUCUACUUUGAAUUUUGCUACGCCGCAUGGGAAAAUAGCAUAAUUUAUCAGGAACUGACAGUAACAUUUAACUUUAUCCACCUCCAAUAAGCAAUAUGCAUUGUACCAUAGACAUUAUAUGGUUGAUUGAAUAGUAAAGAAAAUAUGAAGAUAUUUGGGUGAAAAAAAACUGUUUUAUUGUAGUGACCUUAGUCUAAGUUGCUAUAAUCAAUAUGAACAAAUUCUUAGGAAAAGAUAAUCAAAUUCUGCUUGGUAAAACAUAGUUUAUAUGCUAAAGAAAGGAAAUGAUACAUUUAGGGCACUGAUACCAAUGGUGCACAGGAAUAAACACCAGAAUGAGCCAGAACUUUGUAUUUUUUCUUUUUUUUUCUUUAUCUUACUUGGUUGCUAAAAUUUAUUUAGCUUUUAAUUUAAAAUUGUGCAAUCAUAUAGUUGCCAAUCUCAAAGUAACCAUCAUGUGAAUGCAACAAGAAUUUGCAUUCAUAAUGGGAAUGUUUUUAGGAAUAUGACUAUUCAGAGUUAAAGAAGGGGACUGGAAAAAUCAGUACUCUUGGAAAUGAGUUUGUCAUCAAUGGAACAGGAUUUGAAAAUCUGUUACUUUUCUGCUUUGCGAUAGUUCGUAUUUAGCAAUUUCCUGGUCUGGUGAUCUUUGUAUGUUUGCAGAUAAGACAUCUGUUAGGGCUUGCUUUGCCUUAGCCUGUUGUUUCAGAUUGAUUUUUGGCAAUAAGCACUGUCAGGUCCCAAAUUCCUGACUUCUGUGGUCACUGUUGCUUUAAGGAUCCAAAUAUUUUCUUAGACACUGACCCAAUAUAUAGUUUGACUAUGUCAUAUUGGCCAAGAUCCAAUAACUGGCUGUGUCUGCUGAUAUGCCGGGCCGUUUAUUGCAAAGGAGAUGUCUAUGUUGCCUGAAACUGGUGGACCUCUGCUUGAAUGCCAACAAGAUAAGACAUGAAAAAUGUAACCCAUAUGACUGAUGCAUACUACCUUGCCAAUGGAAAUUAAACAGGAUCAUUAUGAAGCAGCUGACAUUUUUCACUGCUGUUGAAUAAACCAUCAAGGACUGUUUGGUAGCGCUCUGUACAUUUCAAAAAUGAUUUGAAAGACAUGCUUCGGGCCAUGUGCAAUAAACAGGAUCUCUCUACUACUCAUUAAAGCAGGUCAUUUUUUUGAGGGGGGGAUUCAGGCUUCUUCAGGAGUUUAAAGAAGAGAUGCCACUGCUUUAAGGAAAUACUCAUUAAAUGAACAUGAUACUCCAACAAGAUUGCACAGGUUGGGCCUCCUCCGGGUGCCGUCGACCGGACAAUGCCAGCU